RNAcentral lists this ribosomal RNA (519 nucleotides) under Aspergillus fumigatus. RNAcentral describes it as "SSU rRNA". It matches the Rfam family "Eukaryotic small subunit ribosomal RNA", at positions 21 to 541 of the family's 1831-position model. The record is from RNAcentral. Lineage: Eukaryota; Fungi; Ascomycota; Eurotiomycetes; Eurotiales; Aspergillaceae.
UGUAGUCAUUAGCUUGUCUCAAAGAUUAAGCCAUGCAUGUCUAAGUAUAAGCAAUUUAUACGGUGAAACUGCGAAUGGCUCAUUAAAUCAGUUAUCGUUUAUUUGAUAGUACCUUACUACAUGGAUACCUGUGGUAAUUCUAGAGCUAAUACAUGCUAAAAACCUCGACUUCGGAAGGGGUGUAUUUAUUAGAUAAAAAACCAAUGCCCUUCGGGGCUCCUUGGUGAAUCAUAAUAACUUAACGAAUCGCAUGGCCUUGCGCCGGCGAUGGUUCAUUCAAAUUUCUGCCCUAUCAACUUUCGAUGGUAGGAUAGUGGCCUACCAUGGUGGCAACGGGUAACGGGGAAUUAGGGUUCGAUUCCGGAGAGGGAGCCUGAGAAACGGCUACCACAUCCAAGGAAGGCAGCAGGCGCGCAAAUUACCCAAUCCCGACACGGGGAGGUAGUGACAAUAAAUACUGAUACGGGGCUCUUUUGGGUCUCGUAAUUGGAAUGAGUACAAUCUAAAUCUACAGACCUG